This 599-nucleotide ribosomal RNA is filed under the name uncultured bacterium. Its description in RNAcentral is "bacterial SSU rRNA". It matches the Rfam family "Bacterial small subunit ribosomal RNA", at positions 120 to 716 of the family's 1533-position model. The record is from RNAcentral.
UGCAACUUGCCCCAUACAGGAGGAUAGGCUUUGGAAACGGAGAUUAAUACUCUAUGGUACUAUAAUAAGGCAUCUUAAUAUAGUUAAACAUUUAUGGGUAUGGGAUAGGCAUGCAUUAGAUUAGUUAGUUGGUGAGGUAAAGGCUUACCAAGGCGAUGAUCUAUAGGGGUCCUGAGAGGGAGGUCCCCCACACUGGUACUGAGACACGGACCAGACUCCUACGGGAGGCAGCAGUGAAGAAUAUUGGUCAAUGGGCGAGAGCCUGAACCAGCCAUUCCGCGUGUAGGAAUAAUCUCUUAUAGAGUGUAAACUACUUUUAUACAGGAGGAGAGUUAGUACGAGAUACUAAUGAGGACGUUACUGUAGGAAUAAGCAUCGGCUAACUCCGUGCCAGCAGCCGCGGUAAUACGGAGGAUGCGAACGUUAUCCGGAAUUAUUGGGUUUAAAGGGUCCGUAGGCGGAUUAAUAAGUCAGAGGUAAAAGGCAGUGGCUUAACCAUAUGUAAGCCUUUGAAACUGUUAAUCUUGAAUAGAAUCGACGUUAGGAGAAUGUGGCAAGUAGCGGUGAAAUGUGUAGAUAUGCCACAGAAUACCGGUAGU